Long non-coding RNA from Morone saxatilis (striped sea-bass), 280 nucleotides. RefSeq lists it as uncharacterized. NCBI's taxonomy places the organism in Eukaryota, Metazoa, Chordata, Actinopteri, Moronidae. The transcript has 3 exons. The record is from RefSeq and is a predicted model, not a curated record.
GUCAAUGAAGGCUUGUUUUCAAUGAGGCCUGUGCGUGCGUUCCCGGGAGAUCUCUCAAGAGGGGAAGGAUGCGUGAGCACGGAAACGAAUGGAAACGAGAGACAGAGCCUCCUGAUUAUCUUGCAGUCUCAAAAAUAUAUAACGCCUCCCACCCACCAGAAGCCCUAAACAGGAAGCACUGGUUGGCAAAUGGACAGGGCCGUUUCCGUAGCGACAAAGGGAGCGUAAAAGCCCUCCUUGCAGUGUCUGCUCCGGCUCACAUUGUACCUUCUUAACUGGA